GUGAGAUACAACAUUGUGGCUUUGCUUUCCAUCUAGGGAAUUGCAGUAUGUGCUAAAAAUACUGUUGAGCACAUGGGAAUACAGAGUGUUAUCGCAUACGGAGGGGAAGAAGGAAUGUCAGAUCCACAAGAAGCAACCAUAGAAGAGGGACAACUUAGCACUGAAUGUUCUGAGUGCCAUGGAAGCCAUGAGAACGUCUGCUAAAUCCUUUACAAGACUGAAGGUGGCACACAGCAGAGGGAAGACACUUGAGAAGUGAGCCAGAUCUCCCUACUGACGUCAAGAGGAGCAGCUGAAAACAGGCCAAUAACAAUUUUUAGGCUUUAAAGCAGGCUCUGUGGCUGUUCAGGAAGGAGGAGAUUUCUUGUUACAAGC
Molecule: long non-coding RNA, 375 nt
Organism: Gallus gallus (chicken)
Lineage: Eukaryota; Metazoa; Chordata; Aves; Galliformes; Phasianidae
Source: Ensembl